CAGUAGCCGCGGUAAUACGAAGGGGGCUAGCGUUGUUCGGAUUUACUGGGCGUAAAGCGCACGUAGGCGGAUCGAUCAGUCAGGGGUGAAAUCCCAGAGCUCAACUCUGGAACUGCCUUUGAUACUGUCGAUCUGGAGUAUGGAAGAGGUGAGUGGAAUUCCGAGUGUAGAGGUGAAAUUCGUAGAUAUUCGGAGGAACACCAGUGGCGAAGGCGGCUCACUGGUCCAUUACUGACGCUGAGGUGCGAAAGCGUGGGGAGCAAACAGGAUUAGAUACCCCCGUAGUCCCUGUCUCUUAUAA
This 301-nucleotide ribosomal RNA is filed under the name uncultured bacterium. RNAcentral describes it as "partial 16S ribosomal RNA". It matches the Rfam family "Bacterial small subunit ribosomal RNA", at positions 509 to 809 of the family's 1533-position model. The record is from RNAcentral.